UACGAAGGGGGCUAGCGUUGUUCGGAAUUACUGGGCGUAAAGGGCGCGUAGGCGGCGUGUCAAGUCAGGCGUGAAAGCCCCGGGCUCAACCUGGGAACCGCGCUUGAGGCUGGCAUGCUCGAGUUCGGGAGAGGAUGGUGGAAUUCCCAGUGUAGAGGUGAAAUUCGUAGAUAUUGGGAAGAACACCGAUGGCGAAGGCAGCCAUCUGGACCGACACUGACGCUGAGGCGCGAAAGCGUGGGGAGCAAACAGG
This 253-nucleotide ribosomal RNA is filed under the name uncultured bacterium. RNAcentral describes it as "partial 16S ribosomal RNA". It matches the Rfam family "Bacterial small subunit ribosomal RNA", at positions 524 to 776 of the family's 1533-position model. The record is from RNAcentral.